GAACGCUAGCGGCAGGCCUAAUACAUGCAAGUCGAACGGUGUCUUCGGACAUAGUGGCGCACGGGUGCGUAACACGUAUGCAACCUACCUUACAUUGGGGGAUAGCCUUUCGAAAGGGAGAUUAAUACCGCAUAAGACAGUAGCUGGGCAUCCAGCAGCUGUUAAAGAUUUAUCGAUGUAAGCUGGGCAUGCGUCCAAUUAGCUAGUUGGUGAGGUAACGGCUCACCAAGGCUAUGAUUGGUAGGGGAACUGAGAGGUCAAUCCCCCACACUGGCACUGAGAUACGGGCCAGACUCCUACGGGAGGCAGCAGUAGGGAAUAUUGGGCAAUGGACGCAAGUCUGACCCAGCCAUGCCGCGUGCAGGAUGAAGGCGUUAUGCGUUGUAAACUGCUUUUAUACAGGAAGAAACGACUCUUGCGAGAGGCAUUGACGGUACUGUAUGAAUAAGCACCGGCUAACUCCGUG
This 466-nucleotide ribosomal RNA is filed under the name uncultured bacterium. RNAcentral's name for it is "bacterial SSU rRNA". It matches the Rfam family "Bacterial small subunit ribosomal RNA", at positions 31 to 507 of the family's 1533-position model. The record is from RNAcentral.